This 403-nucleotide ribosomal RNA is filed under the name uncultured bacterium. Its description in RNAcentral is "bacterial SSU rRNA". It matches the Rfam family "Bacterial small subunit ribosomal RNA", at positions 976 to 1380 of the family's 1533-position model. The record is from RNAcentral.
UAAGCUUGACAUCUCUCAGAUCGGUAGUUAAUCCUACCUUCCCUUCGGGGCUGAGAUGACAGGUGGUGCAUGGUUGUCGUCAGCUCGUGUCGUGAGAUGUUGGGUUAAGUCCCGCAACGAGCGCAACCCUUGUCUUUAGUUGCCAGCAUUAAGUUGGGCACUCUAGAGAGACUGCCAGGGAUAACCUGGAGGAAGGUGGGGAUGACGUCAAAUCAUCAUGCCCCUUAUGCUUAGGGCUACACACGUGCUACAAUGGGUGGUACAGAGGGUUGCCAAGCCGCAAGGUGGAGCUAAUCCCUUAAAGCCAUUCUCAGUUCGGAUUGUAGGCUGAAACUCGCCUACAUGAAGCUGGAGUUACUAGUAAUCGCAGAUCAGAAUGCUGCGGUGAAUGCGUUCCCGGGUC